GAUAAGGAGCUUGCUCCUUUGACGUUAGCGGCGGACGGGUGAGUAACACGUGGGUAACCUACCUAUAAGACUGGGAUAACUUCGGGAAACCGGAGCUAAUACCGGAUAACAUUUGGAACCGCAUGGUUCUAAAGUGAAAGAUGGUUUUGCUAUCACUUAUAGAUGGACCCGCGCCGUAUUAGCUAGUUGGUAAGGUAACGGCUUACCAAGGCGACGAUACGUAGCCGACCUGAGAGGGUGAUCGGCCACACUGGAACUGAGACACGGUCCAGACUCCUACGGGAGGCAGCAGUAGGGAAUCUUCCGCAAUGGGCGAAAGCCUGACGGAGCAACGCCGCGUGAGUGAUGAAGGGUUUCGGCUCGUAAAACUCUGUUAUUAGGGAAGAACAAAUGUGUAAGUAACUGUGCACGUCUUGACGGUACCUAAUCAGAAAGCCACGGCUAACUACGUGCCAGCAGCCGCGGUAAUACGUAGGUGGCAAGCGUUAUCCGGAAUUAUUGGGCGUAAAGCGCGCGUAGGCGGUUUCUUAAGUCUGAUGUGAAAGCCCACGGCUCAACCGUGGAGGGUCAUUGGAAACUGGGAAACUUGAGUGCAGAAGAGGAAAGUGGAAUUCCAUGUGUAGCGGUGAAAUGCGCAGAGAUAUGGAGGAACACCAGUGGCGAAGGCGACUUUCUGGUCUGUAACUGACGCUGAUGUGCGAAAGCGUGGGGAUCAAACAGGAUUAGAUACCCUGGUAGUCCACGCCGUAAACGAUGAGUGCUAAGUGUUAGGGGGUUUCCGCCCCUUAGUGCUGCAGCUAACGCAUUAAGCACUCCGCCUGGGGAGUACGACCGCAAGGUUGAAACUCAAAGGAAUUGACGGGGACCCGCACAAGCGGUGGAGCAUGUGGUUUAAUUCGAAGCAACGCGAAGAACCUUACCAAAUCUUGACAUCCUUUGAAAACUCUAGAGAUAGAGCCUUCCCCUUCGGGGGACAAAGUGACAGGUGGUGCAUGGUUGUCGUCAGCUCGUGUCGUGAGAUGUUGGGUUAAGUCCCGCAACGAGCGCAACCCUUAAGCUUAGUUGCCAUCAUUAAGUUGGGCACUCUAGGUUGACUGCCGGUGACAAACCGGAGGAAGGUGGGGAUGACGUCAAAUCAUCAUGCCCCUUAUGAUUUGGGCUACACACGUGCUACAAUGGACAAUACAAAGGGCAGCUAAACCGCGAGGUCAUGCAAAUCCCAUAAAGUUGUUCUCAGUUCGGAUUGUAGUCUGCAACUCGACUACAUGAAGCUGGAAUCGCUAGUAAUCGUAGAUCAGCAUGCUACGGUGAAUACGUUCCCGGGUCUUGUACACACCGCCCGUCACACCACGAGAGUUUGUAACACCCGAAGCCGGUGGAGUAACCA
This 1387-nucleotide ribosomal RNA is filed under the name Staphylococcus sp. BFE17D2. RNAcentral's name for it is "bacterial SSU rRNA". It matches the Rfam family "Bacterial small subunit ribosomal RNA", at positions 70 to 1441 of the family's 1533-position model. Lineage: Bacteria; Bacillati; Bacillota; Bacilli; Caryophanales; Staphylococcaceae. The record is from RNAcentral.